UGCCAGGCCGCGAGAGACGGCCGGCCAGUAUCGUGGAGGCGCGCGGCCCGUUGCGAUCGUACAACCCUUAAAAUCCCGCUCGCCCUCGUCGUCUGUGUGCGUACAUGACGUACUUACACGCGCGCGCACACACAAACACAUAUACACAAACAACGUGUGCAAGGAAUAUUUUCAAGGAUACGGGGGAUCUUCUCUUGAUAGUUUGAUUCUCGAUACAUAUAGAUACAUAUGUGUGUGCAUGCCGACGUAAACUUUCAUCGAAGAAUUUACAAUCGGGAGAAGGUAGCUUUUGAGCAGCGCAAACAUGCGAGAAAUACAAUGGAGGGCUGCAGCGUUACAAUGGCCGUGUAACUAUGCGCGUUAGAGACUACAGUUUCUAAAGAGAAGAGCUCCAUCACGAAGGACGAGCAACCGUGCGAGCAUAUACGCGCAAGCCGCAACUCCGUUGGGAGAUGUGUUUUUGUGAGAUGCACACUAUACCAUGAUGAUCGAAGCUUUACGCCAUCGGCGGCAAAAUCGCUUCGCUACUCAUAUUGCAAAGCUGCCAUUUCCCAGUGGAUGCCAUGCGAUGGUGUAGCUGAAACCGCAAUGAUCGUGCAGCGGCCCGCUGGAGGAAUUCGCGGACAUAAGGGCAUGCCAUUAGGGACAACGAAUAUGGAAUCCCGGUGAGACGAAAAGAACCAG
This is a non-coding RNA of Nylanderia fulva, 684 nucleotides long. The record is from RefSeq and is a predicted model, not a curated record. Lineage: Eukaryota; Metazoa; Arthropoda; Insecta; Hymenoptera; Formicidae.